AUUGAACGCUGGUGGCAUGCCUAACACAUGCAAGUCGAGCGGAUGAAGGGAGCUUGCUCCUGGAUUCAGCGGCGGACGGGUGAGUAAUGCCUAGGAAUCUGCCUUGUAGUGGGGGAUAACGUCCGGAAACGGGCGCUAAUACCGCAUACGUCCUGAGGGAGAAAGUGGGGGAUCUUCGGACCUCACGCUAUCAGAUGAGCCUAGGUCGGAUUAGCUAGUUGGUGGGGUAAAGGCCUACCAAGGCGACGAUCCGUAACUGGUCUGAGAGGAUGAUCAGUCACACUGGAACUGAGACACGGUCCAGACUCCUACGGGAGGCAGCAGUGGGGAAUAUUGGACAAUGGGCGAAAGCCUGAUCCAGCCAUGCCGCGUGUGUGAAGAAGGUCUUCGGAUUGUAAAGCACUUUAAGUUGGGAGGAAGGGCAGUAAGUUAAUACCUUGCUGUUUUGACGUUACCAACAGAAUAAGCACCGGCUAACUUCGUG
This 484-nucleotide ribosomal RNA is filed under the name uncultured bacterium. RNAcentral describes it as "partial 16S ribosomal RNA". It matches the Rfam family "Bacterial small subunit ribosomal RNA", at positions 30 to 507 of the family's 1533-position model. The record is from RNAcentral.